Microcebus murinus (gray mouse lemur) is the source of this 395-nucleotide non-coding RNA. Lineage: Eukaryota; Metazoa; Chordata; Mammalia; Primates; Cheirogaleidae. The record is from RefSeq and is a predicted model, not a curated record.
AAAAAAAACAGCGUCAAUUGCUUUUGUAAAAACAACAAAGCUGGUUUUUAAAGGACAGAGCGGCCAACAGUGUCAGAGUGUGAUAGGGACAGGGUUGGGUUCAGUGGCUGUAGCAACAGGGAGGCAGUGAGUGAGCUAGUCGAGAAUAGUAGCUGUGUGGUGGUGGCAGGGGUGGCUCUGAGAGCGAGGGGGAAGUGAGGAAGUGGAGAGAGGGAGUUUGGACAACUAUUUCUGGAACUUUGGCCAGGAAGAGAAGGCAUGAGAUACAGCAAUGAGUGCCUGAAGGGAGGAAUGGGGAGGCAGAAAGAGAUGAGAACGACAGCAAGCUUGUGCUGCAGAUCUAGUCACAGAAGCUUCCAUCAACUCUGCUGGUCAAGUGGAGCAGUGGGAGUGGA